Molecule: transfer RNA, 69 nt
Filed under: Bos taurus (domestic cattle)
Lineage: Eukaryota; Metazoa; Chordata; Mammalia; Artiodactyla; Bovidae
Also listed under: 5 other names
Rfam family: tRNA
About the family: Transfer RNA (tRNA) molecules are approximately 80 nucleotides in length. Their secondary structure includes four short double-helical elements and three loops (D, anti-codon, and T loops).
Source: Rfam by way of RNAcentral
CCUGAUGGCUCAGAUGGGAGAGAAUCUGCCUGCAAUGCAGGAGAUCCAGGCUCAAUCCCUGGGUCAGGA